Molecule: ribosomal RNA, 468 nt
Filed under: uncultured bacterium
Lineage: Bacteria
Description: partial 16S ribosomal RNA
Rfam family: Bacterial small subunit ribosomal RNA
Source: RNAcentral
GACGAACGCUGGCGGCGUGCUUAACACAUGCAAGUCGAACGGAAAGGCCCUGCUUUUGUGGGGUGCUCGAGUGGCGAACGGGUGAGUAACACGUGAGUAACCUGCCCUUGACUUUGGGAUAACUUCAGGAAACUGGGGCUAAUACCGGAUAGGAGCUCCUGCUGCAUGGUGGGGGUUGGAAAGUUUCGGCGGUUGGGGAUGGACUCGCGGCUUAUCAGCUUGUUGGUGGGGUAGUGGCUUACCAAGGCUUUGACGGGUAGCCGGCCUGAGAGGGUGACCGGCCCCAUUGGGACUGAGAGACGGCCCAGAAUCCUACGGGAGGCAGCAGGGGGGAAUAUUGCACAAUGGGGGGAAGCCCGAUGCAGCAACGCCGCGGGGGGGAGGACGGCCCUUGGGGUGUAAACCGCUUUCGCCCGUGAAGAAGGGGGAGGGACGGGAAAGGGUAAAGAAACCACGGCUAACUAAGUG